UCAAAUCAUUAUGUGGAGAAUCCUGCCCAUUUUUGUUGUUGUACUCUUCCCCAGCUGGGAAAAGUAAAUCUGAUAUUGUUGGAACAUUCAACGAGGAUGCCUCCAAAACAACCCCCUAACAUGUUAGUGAGAAUACAAACACAAGUGCAUUUUCGGUGUCUUGUAAAAUCGUAAAGGGUUAUGGACCACAAAAAUUCUCAGAAAACGUACAUUGUGAGGUCGGCAUGCUGUGAUUUGAUUUAAAUGUUCUUUAUUCACACUUUUUAUUGGUAUUUUGUACUGUAGUUUGUUCAAAAAUUCUUCAAAUUCACUAUGAAUGUCAGCAUUUUGAACAUAAAGUGCUCGACAUUCUCUUUUGCGCGUUGCAAGGGCAUUUUUUACUGAAUGCGUUCCAAAUACGAAUUCCGAAUCCUCUUUAAUUAACCGCCGCUCCUUGGACAAAUGCGCUUUGGCUUUUUUGGGCACCUCGCGUGCUAAAUUAACACGACUUCGUAUCAUUUUCGUGGUUACAAAUAAGUAAAAACUUACUAGUGUCGUUUCGUAAUUAGCAUACACUGGAUAUUGUGAUGUUCAAACCAAAUAAGGAUUUUGUACAAAAGUUUUAGUCUAAAAACACAAAAUAUUAGCAACUUUUACAUAGUAAGCGGAAAAAGAAUUAAGUAUAAACUAAAAAAUGAGAAUUAAAUUGGUUUA
Non-coding RNA from Schizosaccharomyces pombe (fission yeast), 693 nucleotides. NCBI's taxonomy places the organism in Eukaryota, Fungi, Ascomycota, Schizosaccharomycetes, Schizosaccharomycetales, Schizosaccharomycetaceae. The record is from the annotation of a GenBank genome assembly.